CUGCCCCGUACAUUACGCAGGGCACCUUCCCUGUGUUCCUGAGCCCCACUCCAAAUACACAGUGCUCCCCCAAGGAGCGUCAUUUCGGCACCAGGUGCAUCUGAUUUCUCUCCUUGGAUACUAACAGCUGGAACAACACAUGCCUGUGGAAUUGACCCCUCUCAAAGAUCAGGCAGGACUCACUCUGGCUCCACUAUCAGGACCACUGACUACUGACCGGUGCAGCCUGCUCUCCUUUCCCUGCGUUUUCCACGGGGUGGUGACAGAUGUUGGAAUAAAGACACCCUCCCACCUGCCUGAGCGCCAACUCCCCUUGCUCCACCCCUAUAUCAGGGGUAGCCAACUCCCAAGAGACUGCAAUCUAAUCACAGUAGGGUUCAGGGAGAAAUUGUUGAGCUUUUUUUAGGGAGGAGGAAGCAGAAAGGGGAACAGCCACUGAC
Molecule: non-coding RNA, 440 nt
Organism: Podarcis lilfordi (Lilford's wall lizard)
Lineage: Eukaryota; Metazoa; Chordata; Lepidosauria; Squamata; Lacertidae
Source: the annotation of a GenBank genome assembly